UUUAUUUUUAAAAAAUCAAUUUUUGAGUAAUACUCUAGAGGCAGUGGCUCUGCCAAGCAGGGAAGUCAAAUGCAUCGCUUUUUUUCCUGUACACUGUUGGCAAGCACAGAUAAUCCACAACUCCAACGCCAUCUAUUCUCAAUGCGUAGGGUCUGUGUUAUAUUUCUCCUCUUCCAGAAAGUUAAAGCUCGGUGAAACUUAAAGCAGUGAUCCCAGGUUUUUAAAUUUUUAUAUUUUUACUUUUCUUCCAUCUGCCUGGUCAUCUGCAUGAUCCCAGCUUUCUGAACAGGAUUUGUGACACUGUUUCACGGUCCUAAGAACUCUCAGGAAAAAAUCCUCUAUAUUUUCAUGACAGGUUUUCUAGGUGGGUGAAUUAAAGUCUCUGGAGUUAAGCAAAAA
Molecule: long non-coding RNA, 399 nt
Organism: Homo sapiens (human)
Lineage: Eukaryota; Metazoa; Chordata; Mammalia; Primates; Hominidae
Source: Ensembl